RNAcentral lists this ribosomal RNA (301 nucleotides) under uncultured bacterium. RNAcentral describes it as "bacterial SSU rRNA". It matches the Rfam family "Bacterial small subunit ribosomal RNA", at positions 336 to 654 of the family's 1533-position model. The record is from RNAcentral.
CGCCUACGGGGGGCAGCAGUGGGGAAUAUUGCACAAUGGGGGAAACCCUGAUGCAGCAACGCCGCGUGGGUGAAGAAGUAUUUCGGUAUGUAAAGCCCUAUCAGCAGGGAAGAGAAUGACGGUACCUGACUAAGAAGCCCCGGCUAACUACGUGCCAGCAGCCGCGGUAAUACGUAGGGAGCAAGCGUUAUCCGGAUUUACUGGGUGUAAAGGGCGUGUAGGCGGGCUUGUAAGUCAGAAGUGAAAUCUGGGGGCUUAACCCCCAAACUGCUUUUGAAACUGCGGGUCUUGAGUGAUGGAG